UAUUCUGCCCCAUGGGGAAGGAUGAGAAGCUUCGACUAAGGUUCGACUCGAGCGCCAGCGAGAGAACGUUGCCGCAGGCAACGGCCCGAAGGGCGAGGCGCUUUAGCGCCGAGUAAUCCUUCCCCCACCACUG
Molecule: small RNA, 133 nt
Filed under: Klebsiella pneumoniae
Lineage: Bacteria; Pseudomonadati; Pseudomonadota; Gammaproteobacteria; Enterobacterales; Enterobacteriaceae
Description: RtT sRNA
Rfam family: RtT RNA
About the family: This family represents a bacterial cis-regulatory element known as RtT RNA. The exact function of RtT is unknown although it is thought that it may be involved in changing the cellular response in relation to amino acid starvation.
Source: RNAcentral